This 404-nucleotide unclassified non-coding RNA is filed under the name soil metagenome. RNAcentral's name for it is "partial contains 5.8S ribosomal RNA, internal transcribed spacer 2, and large subunit ribosomal RNA". The stretch from base 1 to 121 matches the Rfam family "5.8S ribosomal RNA", at positions 35 to 154 of the family's 154-position model. The record is from RNAcentral.
GAUGAAGAACGCAGCGAAAUGCGAUAAGUAAUGUGAAUUGCAGAAUUCAGUGAAUCAUCGAAUCUUUGAACGCACCUUGCGCCCUUUGGCUAUUCCGAAGGGCAUGCCUGUUUGAGUAUCAUGAACACCUCAACUCUCAUGGUUUGCCAUGAUGAGCUUGGACUUUGGGGGUCUUGCCGGCCUAUGGGUCGGCUCCUCUCAAAUUAAUCAGCUUGCCAGUGUUUGGUGGCAUCACAGGUGUGAUAACUAUCUACGCUUGUGGUUUUCCAUCAGGUAACCUUCAGUGAUGGAGGUUCGCUGGGGCUCAUAAAUGUCUCUCCUCAGUGAGGACAGCUUGUUUGAACGUUUGAUCUCAAAUCAGGUAGGACUACCCGCUGAACUUAAGCAUAUCAAUAAGCGGAGGA